RNAcentral lists this ribosomal RNA (301 nucleotides) under uncultured bacterium. RNAcentral's name for it is "partial 16S ribosomal RNA". It matches the Rfam family "Bacterial small subunit ribosomal RNA", at positions 509 to 807 of the family's 1533-position model. The record is from RNAcentral.
CAGUAGCCGCGGGAAUACGAGGGGAGCUAGCGUUAUCCGGAAUUACUGGGCGUAAAGCGCACGUAGGCGGCUUUGUAAGUUAGAGGUGAAAGCCCAGAGCUCAACUCUGGAAUUGCCUUUAAGACUGCAUCGCUUGAAUCCAGGAGAGGUGAGUGGAAUUCCGAGUGUAGAGGUGAAAUUCGUAGAUAUUCGGAAGAACACCAGUGGCGAAGGCGGCUCACUGGACUGGUAUUGACGCUGAGGUGCGAAAGCGUGGGGAGCAAACAGGAUUAGAUACCCGUGUAGUCCCUGUCUCUUAUAC